GAUCCUAUCGUCUAGUGGUUUAGGACACUUGGCUUUCUACCAAGUUAUUGGAGUUCGAAUCUCCAUAGGAUCGCCA
This 76-nucleotide transfer RNA is filed under the name Aliikangiella marina. Its description in RNAcentral is "tRNA-Glu". It matches the Rfam family "tRNA". Rfam says of the family: Transfer RNA (tRNA) molecules are approximately 80 nucleotides in length. Their secondary structure includes four short double-helical elements and three loops (D, anti-codon, and T loops). Lineage: Bacteria; Pseudomonadati; Pseudomonadota; Gammaproteobacteria; Oceanospirillales; Pleioneaceae. The record is from RNAcentral.